Molecule: ribosomal RNA, 497 nt
Filed under: uncultured bacterium
Lineage: Bacteria
Description: partial 16S ribosomal RNA
Rfam family: Bacterial small subunit ribosomal RNA
Source: RNAcentral
GAUGAACGCUGGCGGCGUGCCUAAUACAUGCAAGUCGAGCGAACGGACGAGACGCUUGCUUCUCUGAUGUUAGCGGCGGACGGGUGAGUAACACGUGGAUAACCUACCUAUAAGACUGGGAUCACUUCGGGAAACCGGCGCUAAUACCGUAUAAUAUUUUGAACCGCAUGGUUCAAAAGUGAAAGACGGUCUUGCUGUCACUUAUAGAUGGAUCCGCGCUGCAUUAGCUAGUUGGUAAGGUAAAGGCUUACCACGGCAACGAUGCAUAGCCGACCUGAGAGGGGGAUCGGCCGCACUGGAACGGGGACACGGUCCAGACUCCUACGAGAGGCAGCAGUAGGGAAUCGGACGCAGUGGGCGAAAGCCUGACGGAGCAACGCGGCGUGAGAGAUGAAGGUCUUCGGAUCGGAAAACUCUGUUAUUAGGGAAGAACAGAUGUGUAAGGAACUGUGCACAUCUUGACGGUACCUAAUCAGAAAGCCACGGCUAACUACGUG